RNAcentral lists this transfer RNA (74 nucleotides) under Prevotellaceae bacterium. RNAcentral's name for it is "tRNA-Met". It matches the Rfam family "tRNA". Rfam says of the family: Transfer RNA (tRNA) molecules are approximately 80 nucleotides in length. Their secondary structure includes four short double-helical elements and three loops (D, anti-codon, and T loops). Further hydrogen bonds mediate the characteristic L-shaped molecular structure. tRNAs have two regions of fundamental functional importance: the anti-codon, which is responsible for specific mRNA codon recognition, and the 3' end, to which the tRNAs corresponding amino acid is attached (by aminoacyl-tRNA synthetases). tRNAs cope with the degeneracy of the genetic code in two manners: having more than one tRNA (with a specific anti-codon) for a particular amino acid; and 'wobble' base-pairing, i.e. permitting non-standard base-pairing at the 3rd anti-codon position. Lineage: Bacteria; Pseudomonadati; Bacteroidota; Bacteroidia; Bacteroidales; Prevotellaceae. The record is from RNAcentral.
AGUGGGGUGGCGCAGCUGGUUAGCGCACAAGGGUCAUUGCCUUGAGGUCGCGGGUUCGAGUCCCGCCCCCGCAA